This is a long non-coding RNA of Oncorhynchus gorbuscha (pink salmon), 1235 nucleotides long. RefSeq lists it as uncharacterized. The record is from RefSeq and is a predicted model, not a curated record. The transcript is spliced from 3 exons. Lineage: Eukaryota; Metazoa; Chordata; Actinopteri; Salmoniformes; Salmonidae.
CAAUGCGUAGUAAAUUGCUGUGGUUCUUUCAUGGUAAAAAUCAGUCAUGCAUGGGAGAAUUGACAGUUUAUCUGGUGCCAGGGGAGUUUUCCUGAUCUGGUAACUUAACCAGGCAAAACUCUGGACCUUAUAUGGUAUGACGUGGUUAAUUUAUUGUGAAACUGUUUAAUAUAGGCUAUAAUGAGAGCGACGUUUUUCUAAUCAGGUCACAUGAUUUCUUCAAAACUCCUGGAAAAUGUCAUGGCCUUGGGGAGAAUGAAAACCUUGUCAAACUGCAUCAACCUUUUACUUGUUUAAAGGAGGACUAGGGGGGUGCCUAUACACAAUAUGAUUGGGCAAUAAAACUCCGAGGGCUGAGCUUGCUUCAUGCAGAUUUACGUCGUGUAGUCCUGCGCUAUGCUGCUGCAGGCCUAACAAAACCUUUACUCAGUCUGCGCUAUUGUGUAUAUUGAUUAAUUGCAGUUACUAAUUUUGAUAGAAAAUGUCUAGGUAGCUUAGUCCGGCGAGGUUUGAAUAUAAACCAAAUGUGAUAUAAUUCACAUUUUCUCACAUACAAAUGGGCUAUAGGCUAAAUAUACAAUAUUUCCGCUUAAUUUACACUUGCCAGAAGGACAGGGCGCAUAGUAGGCUUGAUCAACUCCGGUCCUCCAGGACCACCAACAGGCGCACCUGAUUCUACUUGUCAGGUAAUCAUCAACCCCUUGAUAAGUUUAAUCAGGUGUUUUUUGUCUAAAUUUAGGCUGCUACAUUUAUGUAAGAGUUUUUGCAUGUCUGUCGGGAGUGAUUUGUUAUCAUGCUUGCUAAAUAAAUACCGGAGGAAAGUGGCAAGCUCGACUUGCAUGUUGUGCCCGGCCCGCGCAACAGGAAAAGAGCCUGCAGCAGCACUCCGAUGUGAAAGACAUAUACAUUGUCAGUACCCUGUUUAGCCUGCCAGAAGUUGACCCUGGAGUUGAAGCUCAUCAAAGUUGUUUCACCAUGGCACAUGAUCGUCGACCUCUAGUGUGUUUACAGACAAUCGCAUCCCCACAUGCUUCAAGAGGGCCACCAUUGUUGCUGUUCUCAAGAAAGCUAAGGUAACUGAGCUAAAUGACUACGGCCCUGUAGCACUAACUUACGUCAUCAUGAAGUGCUUUAAGAGACUAGUCAAGGACCAUAUCACCUCCACCCUAGACCCACUCCAAUUUGCUCUUUGCCCCAAUAGGUCCACAGAUGACGCAAUCGCCAGCACACUGCCC